This 942-nucleotide long non-coding RNA is filed under the name Equus asinus (donkey). Its description in RNAcentral is "lncRNA (ENSEASG00005037621.1)". The record is from RNAcentral. Lineage: Eukaryota; Metazoa; Chordata; Mammalia; Perissodactyla; Equidae.
CAAGGAUGCUCCUGAGGCCCUCUCAUAUCCAUAAACACUGAAAAUCUGUGUCAGCAAUCAUUGGACCGACUUUUGUAGAAACCACUGUUUGUGACAGCUGUGUCCUACACAUUAUCUGUGAAGGAACUGGAAGAAACCUUUUCAUAAGGGCGAGAGGUGGCUACCUGACAUGAUCAACACCUUUCCUUUAAGCUUUCCUUUAAGGUUCAGCCUUGAGGGAAGACUUUGCAGCCCACUGGGAACAAGCUGCCUGUCUCCAUUAUUCAACCUGCUUUUCCAGUGUGCUGAUGAGCCCUGUGAACCUGAGUCCCAUGAACAUUGGUGGAAGUUGGUUUUUAAUCAGGGAGGUCUCAAGCAAGCCUUAGCAGGGCCAGAAACCAAGGAGCAGAAAUCUUGUGGCAUCCACCUGCAACCGCUCAGACUGUCACCUACACCUCCCCAGAGAGCCGAGAACUCCAUUUAGAAAUCUCCUAGGAAGUUGCUGGGUGAAAGAAACUGAAGCAAAGAGACAAGGAGAAAUUUCUCAGCUCUUGUAUAGAAGACAAGCCUCUUUCCCCUUAUGACAGAUAACUCUGACAUGUGAAAAAAGACAAAGAAGAGCAAUGGGAAAUUCUGAAGUAAUUACAAACCACAUGGCAUGAGCAAAUAUAUCCAUUUAGGAUGAACUUAUUUUUGGAAACAUUUUCUUGAACUCUGAAACAAUUUGGAUCUCUUGAAAGCAGUUCUGUUAAUUGAAAAGUCUAUUUUUCUUUUACAAAGCAACAGAUCUUUUUGCAUCCAUUUAAAACAUGCGUGCCCACUUCAUGUCCUUCUCAUUAAAUAGUUUUUGAUUAUGUUGUCAAUUGGAAAUCACUGGCUUCCAUUUCUCAUGGUGUAAUGUCAAUGAUUGGAAGCACAAGUGAUUUUCAAGCUGAAAUUUUUCAAGCUUUAUUUUUAUCUUUU